UAAAUUGCUGUGGUAUUUUGACUAUACAAAGGUAUUGAAAUAAGGCUUUAAUUGAGCGCUAAAAGAAAGGAAACACGGGGAAAAGCUUUCUUAAACUUAAAAAUCGAAGUUAUUUUUAUUUGUGAAGAAACAAUAAUUUAAAUUAAGGACAAGAAGACCCUAAGAAUUUUCAUAUAAAAUUGUGUUUAAAUUAUCAUAACAAUUUUAUCUUUAAUUGGGGCGAUUAAUUAAUAUAAAUAACUUUUUCAUAUUAAAAAUAUGAACCAUUAUUAAUGGUUACUUGAAAAAAAAUACUCUAGGGAUAACAGCGUAAUAAUUUUUGAUAGUUCCUAUAGACAAAAUAGUUUGCGACCUCGAUGUUGGAUUAGGAUAUUUUUUUAACGGANAGGUUAAAAAAAANANUUUGUUCAACU
RNAcentral lists this ribosomal RNA (413 nucleotides) under Amblyomma pecarium. RNAcentral describes it as "partial 16S ribosomal RNA". The record is from RNAcentral. Lineage: Eukaryota; Metazoa; Arthropoda; Arachnida; Ixodida; Ixodidae.